This 183-nucleotide non-coding RNA is filed under the name Nitrospirota bacterium. RNAcentral describes it as "Nitrospirae bacterium (groundwater metagenome) 6S RNA". It matches the Rfam family "6S / SsrS RNA". From Rfam's summary of the family: E. coli 6S RNA was the first non coding RNA to be sequenced, but its function was unknown until recently. It consists of 184 nucleotides that fold into an extended hairpin structure with a large single-stranded internal bulge. The 6S RNA specifically associates with RNA polymerase holoenzyme containing the sigma70 specificity factor. Lineage: Bacteria; Pseudomonadati; Nitrospirota. The record is from RNAcentral.
UGGCCCCUACGUUGCGCGUGGCGGGGUUCUCUCCAAGCCGAACAAUCCAUUUUUGGGAGCUGAGUCCAAGAGGACGGUGUGCACGUUCCGCCUCCGGCGGAAAAGCCUAAAGUCCCCAUCUCGGUACCCACCUGGUUUGACCAGGUUUUGAGUAAACCCUGUCACGGCAAACGUGGGGGCUUU